CAAAAAGAUUUUUUUGCACCGAUCGGCUUGCCUCUAAAAUAGCAGAAGGUAAGAAAAAUG
RNAcentral lists this small RNA (60 nucleotides) under Candidatus Jidaibacter acanthamoebae. RNAcentral's name for it is "Candidatus Jidaibacter acanthamoeba S-element". The record is from RNAcentral. Lineage: Bacteria; Pseudomonadati; Pseudomonadota; Alphaproteobacteria; Rickettsiales; Candidatus Midichloriaceae.